Molecule: ribosomal RNA, 461 nt
Filed under: fungal sp.
Lineage: Eukaryota; Fungi
Description: SSU rRNA
Rfam family: Eukaryotic small subunit ribosomal RNA
Source: RNAcentral
UUGAAUUUCGGGAAUUAGUAGGCUGGUCGUGCCUCGUGGUAUGGAACUGGUCUUCGUACUCGNAUUUCCGUACUUACCCUGGAAAACCUUAANNAGUUCUUAAUUNNGGGGUGUUUUUGGGGAGUUUGGACUGUUUCUUUAAAAAAAUUAGAGUUAGNUUAAGACAAGCUAACGCUUGAAUACAUUAGCAUGGAAUAAUGAAAUAGGACGUUCGAUCCUAUUUUGUUGGUUUCUAGGAUUGACGUAAUGAUUAAUAGGGAUAGUUGGGGGCAUUAGUAUUCAAUUGUCAGAGGUGAAAUUCUUGGAUUUAUUGAAGACUAACUACUGCGAAAGCAUUUGCCAAGGAUGUUUUCAUUAAUCAAGAACGAAAGUUAGGGGAUCGAAGACGAUCAGAUACCGUCGUAGUCUUAACCAUAAACUAUGCCGACUAGGGAUCGGAUGAUGUUAAUUUUUAAUGACUC